AGAGUUUGAUCAUGGCUCAGAUUGAACGCUGGCGGCAUGGCUAAAACAUGCAAGUCGAGCGCGAAAGUCCUUCGGGGCGAGUAGAGCGGCGCAAGGGCGAGGAAUAUAUUCCUACGUACCCCAAGGUCGAGGAUAGCUCGGGGAAACCCGGGGUAAUACUCGAUGUGGUGCUUCGGCAUCAAAGGCUUGCUGCCUUGGGAGCGGGGAAUAUCCUAUCAGGUUGUUGGUGAGGUAAAGGCUCACCAAGCCGAAGACGGGUAGCGGGUGUGAGAGCACGACCCGCCGCAUCGGGACUGAGACACUGCCCGGACUCCUACGGGAGGCUGCAGUAACGAAUCUUCCGCAAUGCACGAAAGUGUGACGGGGCAAUGCCGCGUGUGGGAUGAAGCCCUUCGGGGUGUAAACCACUGUCAGGGUUCAGGAAACAAAUGACCAGACCCAAAGGAAGGGCCGGCUAACUCUGUGCCAGCAGCCGCGGUAAUACAGAGGGCCCGAGCGUUAAUCGGAAUCACUGGGCUUAAAGCGUACGUAGGCGGACUUGUAGGCAUCUUGUGAAAUCCCUCGGCUCAACCGGGGAAUUGCAGGUGAACCACAAGUCUUGAGCGAGUAGAGGCGGUCGGAACGAUAGUGGAGCGGUGAAAUGCGUAGAUAUCUAUCGGACGCCAAGUGAGACAGGCCGCUGGGCUCGUCUGACGCUGAGUACGAAGCGUGGUAGCGAACG
Molecule: ribosomal RNA, 721 nt
Filed under: uncultured bacterium
Lineage: Bacteria
Description: bacterial SSU rRNA
Rfam family: Bacterial small subunit ribosomal RNA
Source: RNAcentral